UCUGGCCCCAAAACUCAUUUCAGCUGGGUUAAGAUAUCCCCUUCUGCACUUCCCAUCCCAAACUGGCACCAGGGGUGCAGUCACAGCUGCUUCCCGCCCCCCCCAGGGGCCACAGGUGAAGGGACGGGCAUGAGUGCUCCAUGCAUAACCUGCUCUGGAGCCCUUCGAGGCAGGCCGUGCUUCUGGACACUCAUAUCAGCCUAGCCCGAGGGUGUCUGGGUGCUGACAAACGCUUCCGCUCCUGGAGGCAUCGCACCACUGAGCACAUAGCGAGAGCCAAGCCCCACGGGUGGAGCAAGCAGCGCAGCCUGUUACACACAUUUGUGGAAAAGGUCUCAGAGCAGCUGGUACAGCUGCAUGAGUUGAGCCUCAUCCAACCCCCUGUCUCGCAGGAGGAAACUGGC
RNAcentral lists this long non-coding RNA (404 nucleotides) under Crocodylus porosus (Australian saltwater crocodile). RNAcentral describes it as "lncRNA (ENSCPRG00005016255.1)". The record is from RNAcentral. Lineage: Eukaryota; Metazoa; Chordata; Crocodylia; Crocodylidae.